UCGACUUUAGAGCGAAUGUUCUUAAGACGUCAUCUGUACAGGGUUGUUUAGUGUGUAGUGUUGAGGACGUUUCACACCAAGAGGCUUCGUCAGCAACUUGCUCCUUCUGGCAGCAGACUGAAUAUAAUAUGUAUUCAAUAUCAAAUCUAUUCUGAUCCAAACUAGAUCCAUAUAUAUAUAUAUAUAUGUUCAGCCUGGUGCUAAAAGAUCAUCAGUUGCUGACAAAGUUGUUUGAGGCAAGAGGUUAAACGUCCUCAAUACCAAACCCAGAACAGAAGAAGUUUUUUUUUUAUGAUGGACAACUUCAGUGUGACAUAGCAUAGGCACAAACAUUUGUCCCUUUUUAUUUGGUUUAGGUUAGUCGACAAACAUAUCUGGAAAUUGAAUUUUUGUGUAGCUUGCUUACUUUUUAGUUAAAGUGCAUAUGACAGAUUUUUAUGUUUUUGACUUAUUUGAAAGUUGUAUAAAACUGCUGCCAUUUUUAUGAUUUUAAAGAUGAGGAAGAUGGAGAAUUCCAUAUUUCAAGGAUAGACCGGCAGCUCCAAUACACACUAAUGGAAAACAUCUCCCUCGCUGCUCUCAGUUGUUUACAUAAUCACUUUUGGCUCACGUUUCUGAGGUUUCUGACAUGGUACAGGUAAGUCCUGAUUUGAUUCUGUCUACAGCUUUCGUUUUGUUGAUUAACAUUUUGCAAAACCUUAUUUGGUUUAUCACGAUCAAAAGAAGCUAACAGGCUAACGGGCAAAAAUAACUGUGGGCUAGCGCAACUUUAGCAGUAUUUACGGCCAAGUUUGAGCGGGAAAAAAAUAUCCCCAUUGUAUAAUUGGGCACAAUGUACAAUAUCCCUCUCUCCCUUUGACUUUUCUCAGCGUAGUAUUUACUCUCACGGACAAUUAAUGAGUAAAUAAAAACGCAACAUGCCACGACAGCUGCAGUGGCGCUUGUGGCCUCAGGGUUACUUAGUUUCUCCUUUAACAAAUUCGGAAUUAGGAAUAUAUUUUCGACAAAAUAAAGAUACAGAGAUCUGGAGAGGAGCAAAGUGGUUCAAUAGCCCAUAAAGACAUAAAUAACGGAAAAUGCUAACCUAACGUUAGCUUCAUGCUACACGCCAACGCUACCUUUGAGUGCCAGUCUUUCGCUUCUACUGGACAAAUUUGCUU
Molecule: long non-coding RNA, 1160 nt
Filed under: Neogobius melanostomus (round goby)
Lineage: Eukaryota; Metazoa; Chordata; Actinopteri; Gobiiformes; Gobiidae
Description: lncRNA (ENSNMLG00000017995.1)
Source: RNAcentral